This 2415-nucleotide ribosomal RNA is filed under the name Escherichia coli DEC6E. Its description in RNAcentral is "bacterial LSU rRNA". It matches the Rfam family "Bacterial large subunit ribosomal RNA", at positions 1 to 2443 of the family's 2925-position model. Lineage: Bacteria; Pseudomonadati; Pseudomonadota; Gammaproteobacteria; Enterobacterales; Enterobacteriaceae. The record is from RNAcentral.
UUAAGCGACUAAGCGUACACGGUGGAUGCCCUGGCAGUCAGAGGCGAUGAAGGACGUGCUAAUCUGCGAUAAGCGUCGGUAAGGUGAUAUGAACCGUUAUAACCGGCGAUUUCCGGAAUGGGGAAACCCAGUGUGUUUCGACACACUAUCAUUAACUGAAUCCAUAGGUUAAUGAGGCGAACCGGGGGAACUGAAACAUCUAAGUACCCCGAGGAAAAGAAAUCAACCGAGAUUCCCCCAGUAGCGGCGAGCGAACGGGGAGCAGCCCAGAGCCUGAAUCAGUGUGUGUGUUAGUGGAAGCGUCUGGAAAGGCGCGCGAUACAGGGUGACAGCCCCGUACACAAAAAUGCACAUGCUGUGAGCUCGAUGAGUAGGGCGGGACACGUGGUAUCCUGUCUGAAUAUGGGGGACCAUCCUCCAAGGCUAAAUACUCCUGACUGACCGAUAGUGAACCAGUACCGUGAGGGAAAGGCGAAAAGAACCCCGGCGAGGGGAGUGAAAAAGAACCUGAAAUCGUGUACGUACAAGCAGUGGGAGCACGCUUAGGCGUGUGACUGCGUACCUUUUGUAUAAUGGGUCAGCGACUUAUAUUCUGUAGCAAGGUUAACCGAAUAGGGGAGCCGAAGGGAAACCGAGUCUUAACUGGGCGUUAAGUUGCAGGGUAUAGACCCGAAACCCGGUGAUCUAGCCAUGGGCAGGUUGAAGGUUGGGUAACACUAACUGGAGGACCGAACCGACUAAUGUUGAAAAAUUAGCGGAUGACUUGUGGCUGGGGGUGAAAGGCCAAUCAAACCGGGAGAUAGCUGGUUCUCCCCGAAAGCUAUUUAGGUAGCGCCUCGUGAAUUCAUCUCCGGGGGUAGAGCACUGUUUCGGCAAGGGGGUCAUCCCGACUUACCAACCCGAUGCAAACUGCGAAUACCGGAGAAUGUUAUCACGGGAGACACACGGCGGGUGCUAACGUCCGUCGUGAAGAGGGAAACAACCCAGACCGCCAGCUAAGGUCCCAAAGUCAUGGUUAAGUGGGAAACGAUGUGGGAAGGCCCAGACAGCCAGGAUGUUGGCUUAGAAGCAGCCAUCAUUUAAGAAAGCGUAAUAGCUCACUGGUCGAGUCGGCCUGCGCGGAAGAUGUAACGGGGCUAAACCAUGCACCGAAGCUGCGGCCGCGACACUAUGUGUUGUUGGGUAGGGGAGCGUUCUGUAAGCCUGUGAAGGUGUGCUGUGAGGCAUGCUGGAGGUAUCAGAAGUGCGAAUGCUGACAUAAGUAACGAUAAAGCGGGUGAAAAGCCCGCUCGCCGGAAGACCAAGGGUUCCUGUCCAACGUUAAUCGGGGCAGGGUGAGUCGACCCCUAAGGCGAGGCCGAAAGGCGUAGUCGAUGGGAAACAGGUUAAUAUUCCUGUACUUGGUGUUACUGCGAAGGGGGGACGGAGAAGGCUAUGUUGGCCGGGCGACGGUUGUCCCGGUUUAAGCGUGUAGGCUGGUUUUCCAGGCAAAUCCGGAAAAUCAAGGCUGAGGCGUGAUGACGAGGCACUACGGUGCUGAAGCAACAAAUGCCCUGCUUCCAGGAAAAGCCUCUAAGCAUCAGGUAACAUCAAAUCGUACCCCAAACCGACACAGGUGGUCAGGUAGAGAAUACCAAGGCGCUUGAGAGAACUCGGGUGAAGGAACUAGGCAAAAUGGUGCCGUAACUUCGGGAGAAGGCACGCUGAUAUGUAGGUGAAGUCCCUUGCGGAUGGAGCUGAAAUCAGUCGAAGAUACCAGCUGGCUGCAACUGUUUAUUAAAAACACAGCACUGUGCAAACACGAAAGUGGACGUAUACGGUGUGACGCCUGCCCGGUGCCGGAAGGUUAAUUGAUGGGGUUAGCCGCAAGGCGAAGCUCUUGAUCGAAGCCCCGGUAAACGGCGGCCGUAACUAUAACGGUCCUAAGGUAGCGAAAUUCCUUGUCGGGUAAGUUCCGACCUGCACGAAUGGCGUAAUGAUGGCCAGGCUGUCUCCACCCGAGACUCAGUGAAAUUGAACUCGCUGUGAAGAUGCAGUGUACCCGCGGCAAGACGGAAAGACCCCGUGAACCUUUACUAUAGCUUGACACUGAACAUUGAGCCUUGAUGUGUAGGAUAGGUGGGAGGCUUUGAAGUGUGGACGCCAGUCUGCAUGGAGCCGACCUUGAAAUACCACCCUUUAAUGUUUGAUGUUCUAACGUUGACCCGUAAUCCGGGUUGCGGACAGUGUCUGGUGGGUAGUUUGACUGGGGCGGUCUCCUCCUAAAGAGUAACGGAGGAGCACGAAGGUUGGCUAAUCCUGGUCGGACAUCAGGAGGUUAGUGCAAUGGCAUAAGCCAGCUUGACUGCGAGCGUGACGGCGCGAGCAGGUGCGAAAGCAGGUCAUAGUGAUCCGGUGGUUCUGAAUGGAAGGGCC